AGGGCAUGUUUUUUCUUUUCAUCUUUUCUUAUAAGACAACAUUUCCAGGUCUUAGGUCUAGUGGAAGCUGCUUCGGAGCCAUGGAGAAAAGGCAGCCUGCGCUGAUUGACCAUGAGCCUAAGUACACUGCAUGAACCUUUGGAAGUACCUCUUCUAUGUCUGCCUGAAGAGAUUCCACUGGCCCUUUAAGCAAGAAACGACUUCACAGUUGAAACCUUGGUUUGGAAGACUCUUGUUUCAAAUCUCGGCAGCAUCCAAUGAGCCCUCCUCAUCAGCUGAUGGUGGUAAGCACCUAGGACUUGGGCCAGUAGAACGAAGGAAAGAAACACAACCAUUUAGUAAAAAGGUACCAUAAAACAUCGGAUCUGCCGUUUGUGGCUGUGGGUGUUUUGGAAUGUGCACACACACGGGGUUUUCCUCUCCCUGCCACCGCCUCCUUCUCUUCUCACUCUUCACACAGAAGUAGCUGCAUAUCAAGAAUUGGUCUUCCCAAAGCCUAGGCUUUCAGGAGAACUUGGAAGUUUUCAGACAAAAAAGAACGGUGUUUGUAAACCAGGGCCUAAAAUGUGCCUCAAGAACUGCAGAAGAGCAAAAUUCGGCAGAGGGAAGAGGAAGGAGCAGAAGAUGGAAGGAGACCGGAAGGAUGUUGUCAAACACAUCAGACUCAGAAGUGGCGCCCGGCCUGCCUGUGUUUUCACGGAAACCAUUCCCAGUCUUUCUUCAUGGCACCAUUGCAGCCUCCCCUUUCACAGAGAUGGUUCCUACCUAAGGAACUUGCCUUCGGAAAUGGAAGACACGAGGGAGGUUACAGGUGGGUCCCGAGACAGAUACUGAAGAUAGAGAACUGGAAAGGGUGAAGCUGAAGAAGACCAGCACAUUUGUGUUCAGAGCUGUCUGUUAUCAUAAGAACAGGCUCAGGCUCCUGCAAGAACAGGCUCAGGAUCCUGCUGCCAGAGACUGAGGUACAGUCGUUUGGCUUCUUAACAAAAGCAAUUCAGCGAUCAGUUUUUUUUUUUUUUUUACCAUACCCAUGUGUGAACAUGUACAUAUAUAUUUGUUUAAUUGUAUUAAAAGCCCAAAUGUCCAACAAUGAUAGACUGGAUUAAGAAAAUGUGGCAUAUAUACACCAUGGAAUACUA
RNAcentral lists this long non-coding RNA (1139 nucleotides) under Homo sapiens (human). RNAcentral's name for it is "HSALNT0117054". The record is from RNAcentral. Lineage: Eukaryota; Metazoa; Chordata; Mammalia; Primates; Hominidae.